This 445-nucleotide long non-coding RNA is filed under the name Gallus gallus (chicken). Lineage: Eukaryota; Metazoa; Chordata; Aves; Galliformes; Phasianidae. The record is from RNAcentral.
CUCCACUUAGUACAAAUUUAAUGGCUCCUUUAUCAACCUGCUGAUGUGGUAGAAUAAAUGGAUAUUUGUGAAGUAAUCUUAGAGUUGGGUAAAAAAUCCCUUCUCUUUGUCUAAAGAACAGCAAUUCUCCAUUCACAGUGAGGAUCUCUAUAUGUUCAUGACAUCUUACUAUUUUGACAGGGUCUUUCUUUGGCAUAAUUUGGUUUAGCCAUGGUUCAAUAACAGGAAAUUGGUCUAUCAGUUGGUUCUUAAUACCUUUAAUAACUGAAGUCUUCAGCUGGAUACAGUUCGAUACAUUCUCCUUUUCAUCAAAUUUUUUAAACAUCCUGGGGCGGUGGGCGCCGGGCGAGCGAGAGCCUGGGCCGGGCGUGGACCGGCGGGCGCGGGGUAGGCUGCCGGGCCUCCGCGCUCCCUCACACGAGGUCCCGGCCCUCCCCUCCGCGCC